GACGAACGCUGGCGGCGUGCUUAACACAUGCAAGUCGAACGGAAAGGCCCUGCUUUUGUGGGGUGCUCGAGUGGCGAACGGGUGAGUAACACGUGAGUAACCUGCCCUUGACUUUGGGAUAACUUCAGGAAACUGGGGCUAAUACCGGAUAGGAGCUCCUGCUGCAUGGUGGGGGUUGGAAAGUUUCGGCGGUUGGGGAUGGACUCGCGGCUUAUCAGCUUGUUGGUGGGGUAGUGGCUUACCAAGGCUUUGACGGGUAGCCGGCCUGAGAGGGUGACCGGCCACAUUGGGACUGAGAUACGGACCAGACUCCUACGGGAGGCAGCAGUGGGGAAUAUUGCACAAUGGGCGGAAGCCUGAUGCAGCAACGCCGCGUGCGGGAUGCCGGCCUUCGGGUUGUAAACCGCUUUCGCCUGUGACGAAGCGUGAGUGACGGUAAUGGGUAAAGAAGCACCGGCUAACUACGUG
RNAcentral lists this ribosomal RNA (468 nucleotides) under uncultured bacterium. Its description in RNAcentral is "partial 16S ribosomal RNA". It matches the Rfam family "Bacterial small subunit ribosomal RNA", at positions 28 to 507 of the family's 1533-position model. The record is from RNAcentral.